GAUGAAGAACGCAGCGAAAUGCGAUAAGUAGUGUGAAUUGCAGAAUUCAGUGAAUCAUCGAAUCUUUGAACGCACAUUGCGCCCUUUGGUAUUCCAAAGGGCAUGCCUGUUCGAGCGUCAUUUGUACCCUCAAGCUUUGCUUGGUGUUGGGCGUCUUGUCUCUAGCUUUGCUGGAGACUCGCCUUAAAGUAAUUGGCAGCCGGCCUACUGGUUUCGGAGCGCAGCACAAGUCGCACUCUCUAUCAGCAAAGGUCUAGCAUCCAUUAAGCCUUUUUUUCAACUUUUGACCUCGGAUCAGGUAGGGAUACACGCUGAACUUAAGCAUAUCAAUAAGCGGAGGA
This 341-nucleotide unclassified non-coding RNA is filed under the name soil metagenome. Its description in RNAcentral is "partial contains 5.8S ribosomal RNA, internal transcribed spacer 2, and large subunit ribosomal RNA". The stretch from base 1 to 120 matches the Rfam family "5.8S ribosomal RNA", at positions 35 to 154 of the family's 154-position model. The record is from RNAcentral.